AAUAGAUACCCAGGUAGUCCACCCCGUAAACGUUGGGAACUAGUUGUGGGGUCCUUUCCACGGAUUCCGUGACGCAGCUAACGCAUUAAGUUCCCCGCCUGGGGAGUACGGCCGCAAGGCUAAAACUCAAAGGAAUUGACGGGGACCCGCACAAGCGGCGGAGCAUGCGGAUUAAUUCGAUGCAACGCGAAGAACCUUACCAAGGCUUGACAUACACCAGAACACCCUAGAAAUAGGGGACUCUUUGGACACUGGUGAACAGGUGGUGCAUGGUUGUCGUCAGCUCGUGUCGUGAGAUGUUGGGUUAAGUCCCGCAACGAGCGCAACCCUCGUUCUAUGUUGCCAGCACGUAAUGGUGGGAACUCAUGGGAUACUGCCGGGGUCAACUCGGAGGAAGUGGGGAUGACGUCAAAUCAUCAUGCCCCUUAUGUCUUGGGCUUCACGCAUGCUACAAUGGCCGGUACAAAGGGCUGCAAUACCGUGAGGUGGAGCGAAUCCCAAAAAGCCGGUCCCAGUUCGGAUUGAGGUCUGCAACUCGACCUCA
RNAcentral lists this ribosomal RNA (544 nucleotides) under uncultured bacterium. Its description in RNAcentral is "bacterial SSU rRNA". It matches the Rfam family "Bacterial small subunit ribosomal RNA", at positions 777 to 1320 of the family's 1533-position model. The record is from RNAcentral.